GACGAACGCUGGCGGCGUGCCUAAUACAUGCAAGUCGAGCGAUGAAGAUUGGUGCUUGCACCAAUUUGAAGAGCAGCGAACGGGUGAGUAACGCGUGGGGAAUCUGCCUUUGAGCGGGGGACAACAUUUGGAAACGAAUGCUAAUAUCGCAUAACAACUUUAAACAUAAGUUUUAAGUUUGAAAGAUGCAAUUGCAUCACUCAAAGAUGAUCCCGCGUUGUAUUAGCUAGUUGGUGAGGAAAAGGCUGAUCAAGGCGAUGAUACAUAGCCGAGCUGGGAGGGUGGUCCGCCACAAUGGGACUGGAAACAGGCCCAAACUCCUACGGGGAGCAGCAAGAGGGGAUUUUUGGAAAUGGGGGAAAGGCUGGCCGAGCAACGCCGGGGGAGUGAAGAAGGGUUUCGGAUCGUAAAACUCUGUUGGUAGAGAAGAAAGUUGGUGAGGGUGGAAAGCUCAUCAAGUGACGGUAACUACCCAGAAAGGAACGGCUAACUACGUG
This 497-nucleotide ribosomal RNA is filed under the name uncultured bacterium. Its description in RNAcentral is "partial 16S ribosomal RNA". It matches the Rfam family "Bacterial small subunit ribosomal RNA", at positions 28 to 507 of the family's 1533-position model. The record is from RNAcentral.